AGAGUUUGAUCCUGGCUCAGGAUGAACGCUAGCGACAGGCCUAACACAUGCAAGUCGAGGGGCAUCGGGGCUAGGAGCAAUCCUUGCCGCCGGCGACCGGCGCACGGGUGAGUAACGCGUAUGCGACCUGCCCGUUGCAGGGGGAUAAUCGGGAGAAAUCCCGUCUAAUACCGCGUAAUGCCGCGGGGCUGCAUGGCCCUGCGGCCAAAGGGAGCGAUUCCGGCAACGGAUGGGCAUGCGUGACAUUAGCUAGUUGGCGGGGCAACGGCCCACCAAGGCGACGAUGUCUAGGGGUUCUGAGAGGAAGGUCCCCCACACUGGUACUGAGACACGGACCAGACUCCUACGGGAGGCAGCAGUGAGGAAUAUUGGUCAAUGGGCGCGAGCCUGAACCAGCCAAGUCGCGUGAGGGAUGACGGCCCUACGGGUUGUAAACCUCUUUUGUCGGGGAGCAAAUUCCGUUACGUGUAACGGAGUCGAGAGUACCCGAAGAAAAAGCAUCGGCUAACUCCGUGCCAGCAGCCGCGGUAAUACGGAGGAUGCGAGCGUUAUCCGGAUUUAUUGGGUUUAAAGGGUGCGUAGGCGGACUGUCAAGUCAGCGGUAAAAUACGGGGGCUCAACCUCCGCCCGCCGUUGAAACUGACGGUCUUGAGUGGGCGAGAAGUAUGCGGAAUGCGUGGUGUAGCGGUGAAAUGCAUAGAUAUCACGCAGAACUCCGAUUGCGAAGGCAGCAUACCGGCGCCCAACUGACGCUGAAGCACGAAAGCGUGGGUAUCGAACAGGAUUAGAUACCCUGGUAGUCCACGCAGUAAACGAUGAAUACUAGCUGUCCGGGGCGAAUGAGCCCUGGGGUGGCACAGCGAAAGCGUUAAGUAUUCCUCCUGGGGCGUGCGCCGGCGCCGGUGGGCCUCCCUGGCGUUGGCGGGGGCCCGCUCCCGCGGUGGUCCUUGUGGUUUUGUUCGGUGGUGCGCGUGGUGCCUUCCCCGGGCUCUUUCGNCUCCGGGGCGUCCCUGUCCGGGUUCGGCUCUCCGGGGCCUGUGUCGGGGUGCUGCGUGGUUGUCGUCUGCUCGUGCCGUGCGGUGUCGGCUU
Molecule: ribosomal RNA, 1089 nt
Filed under: uncultured bacterium
Lineage: Bacteria
Description: bacterial SSU rRNA
Rfam family: Bacterial small subunit ribosomal RNA
Source: RNAcentral